AAGAUUAACUCUGAAUGUGGAGAGAUUAUUUUCUUGCUCGUAAACCUGGUUUACAUAUUUUCAUUCUUAAUGCUCAGUAAUCUUAAGGAAAGUCACCUGAAAGAAUACUUUUUCACCAAGUACUCUUCUGCGCCUGUUUGAAGGUGUCUGUGUGCUUGUGAAGCGCUCCCUUGUUAGUUCCUUCUGUGAGACUCGGGGGAGACUGAAGAGGGAAAUCACCUGCGGGGAAUGAACAGGAAAGCAAUAAGAAGAUUUGGAAAAGAGGCACUGGCUACUGGAGGAAGGGAGAAAUCACCGAGAGAGCGAAAGAUGUAACAGUGACUCAUGCCUAUAAUCCCAGUACUUUGGAAGGUCAAGGCAC
Molecule: long non-coding RNA, 361 nt
Organism: Homo sapiens (human)
Lineage: Eukaryota; Metazoa; Chordata; Mammalia; Primates; Hominidae
Gene: RABGAP1L-DT
Product: RABGAP1L divergent transcript
Source: Ensembl